CAGCCGCCACGGGAAUACGUAGGUGGCAAGCGUUGUCCGGAAUUAUUGGGCGUAAAGGGCUCGCAGGCGGUUUCUUAAGUCUGAUGUGAAAGCCCCCGGCUCAACCGGGGAGGGUCAUUGGAAACUGGGAAACUUGAGUGCAGAAGAGGAGAGUGGAAUUCCACGUGUAGCGGUGAAAUGCGUAGAGAUGUGGAGGAACACCAGUGGCGAAGGCGACUCUCUGGUCUGUAACUGACGCUGAGGAGCGAAAGCGUGGGGAGCGAACAGGAUUAGAUACCCCUGUAGUCCUGUCUCUUAUACA
RNAcentral lists this ribosomal RNA (301 nucleotides) under uncultured bacterium. RNAcentral describes it as "partial 16S ribosomal RNA". It matches the Rfam family "Bacterial small subunit ribosomal RNA", at positions 509 to 809 of the family's 1533-position model. The record is from RNAcentral.